This is a long non-coding RNA of Cheilinus undulatus (humphead wrasse), 1092 nucleotides long. RefSeq lists it as uncharacterized. Lineage: Eukaryota; Metazoa; Chordata; Actinopteri; Labriformes; Labridae. The transcript has 3 exons. The record is from RefSeq and is a predicted model, not a curated record.
UAGUGGGAAGCGUCAAAAAGAAGACGAGGCAGGCCUCAGACCAGUGCGAGCCCACCCUCAUUCCCCUCCUUCUCUCUGGAUCUCUGAGGAGCUGCAAAAAGUAACGACAGGUGAGAUUUCUGCCAAUGUCAUCACCUCCUCCUGUCUCUCUGAAUCCUUCACACCUCACUGUGUCCCCAACUGAAGAAAAUGUCACUGUCGAGCUCUGUCUACUAAGUUUCUCCAUUCUUCACUCCCUCUGAAACACAACACGGUCCAGGGCACAGCACGUCAGAGUUUGGGAAGUGUUAUCAGGCAGAGGAAAAAAACUGAACGAGCAGCGAUGGACUGCUGCUCUGCGGGAUCAGAGGACAGAAUGAAACUGAUUUCCAUUAUUACAGGCAGAAUUAUUGCUCCCCCUCUGUACCACUGCAGCUCCACGCCAGGAUUACUAUUUCUGGCAAUGUUUGCCUCAGGAAGGAACUUUCGCAGAUUUAAUGGGACCUGGGCCAUUGUACACAGCCUUCUGUAUGGCACCCUGCCAUCUUUUACAGAGAGCAGAGAGAGAAGGACGUGUUCAAAACAAGAGUGUCACGUUAAUGUGAUCAUUAAUAUUUCCAGUAUAUUCCAAACACUAAACUCUGCCUGUGCUUCACAUGAAGCGCCAUGUACUUUAAUUUGCAUGUCAGGGAUAAAAGUGUGACGGUGACUGUGUUGUCCUGUGAUAUGUCAUGUUGUGUUUUCUUUAUGGAACAUGACACAAUGCAGCUUUUUGCAGUAAAAUUUAAAUCAAAGUAAAAACCUCUUUGUUCCUUUAGCUCAUCUUUGCAAACAUUAAUCAGAGAAGGGUUCAGCAUGGAGUUGAACUAGCAGUGGAGCAAAGGUGCAUGGUAAAUGUCACGUGAAAUGCCUGUAUUUAAAGGUGCACUGAAGAAAUCUGCACAUCUGGAUAAACAUGAAGUACUCAGUAUGACCCAACUGAGAUCUAGCUGCUCUAUUAUUUGCAUUUCCACCCUCAAAAAUUGGGCAGGUACCAAAAUAACUGAUCUGACCAUCCUACUUUUUUGGCAUCCUGCUGCUGGGGUACCUCAAAACAAAGUUUUUUAUAUAGGA